AUGUAUCCCUUAAGUGUUUCACUAGUGGUACUCUGGCUUCAACUGAGGGGAGUGAACACCCAGCAGAAGGUGCAACAGAACCCAGAAUCCCUCAGUGUCUCAGAGGGAGCCAUGACCUCUCUCAACUGUACUUUCAGUGAUCGUAAUUUUCAGUACUUCUGGUGGUACAGACAGCAUCCAAGGAAAGGCCCCACGAUGCUGAUGUCCAUCUCCUCCAAUGGUGAAAAGAAAGAAGGCAGAUUCACAGUUCAGCUCAACAAAGACAGCCUGCAUGUUUCCCUGCACAUCAGAGACUCCCAGCCCGGUGACUCAGCUGUCUACCUCUGUGCAGGAUCUGGUCUGUUGGACCUGGGGUUUGAGGACUGGAAAGAAUGGGUUGGACUGCAGUCUAAUGAUGAAGACUUCCUUACUUCAGUUUCAUUUUACUUUUAUACAAAAACAUAG
Molecule: non-coding RNA, 444 nt
Organism: Arvicola amphibius (Eurasian water vole)
Lineage: Eukaryota; Metazoa; Chordata; Mammalia; Rodentia; Cricetidae
Source: the annotation of a RefSeq genome assembly